This 433-nucleotide ribosomal RNA is filed under the name uncultured bacterium. Its description in RNAcentral is "partial 16S ribosomal RNA". It matches the Rfam family "Bacterial small subunit ribosomal RNA", at positions 29 to 507 of the family's 1533-position model. The record is from RNAcentral.
AACGAACGCUGGCGGCAUGCCUAACACAUGCAAGUCGAACGAGACCUUCGGGUCUAGUGGCGCACGGGUGCGUAACGCGUGGGAACCUGCCUUUAGGUUCGGAAUAACUCAGAGAAAUUUGAGCUAAUACCGGAUGAUGUCUUCGGACCAAAGAUUUAUCGCCUUUAGAUGGGCCCGCGUUGGAUUAGCUAGUUGGUGGGGUAAAGGCCUACCAAGGCGACAAUCCAUAGCUGGUCUGAGAGGAUGAUCAGCCACACUGGGACUGAGACACGGCCCAGACUCCUACGGGAGGCAGCAGUGGGGAAUAUUGGACAAUGGGCGAAAGCCUGAUCCAGCAAUGCCGCGUGAGUGAUGAAGGCCUUAGGGUUGUAAAGCUCUUUUACCCGAGAUGAUAAUGACAGUAUCGGGAGAAUAAGCUCCGGCUAACUCCGUG